Long non-coding RNA from Columba livia (rock pigeon), 472 nucleotides. RefSeq lists it as uncharacterized. The record is from RefSeq and is a predicted model, not a curated record. The transcript is spliced from 4 exons. NCBI's taxonomy places the organism in Eukaryota, Metazoa, Chordata, Aves, Columbiformes, Columbidae.
GGGAUUCAAUUCGCUUUGCAGGAGCCGGGGGGGCCGGGGCAGCCGCCCCUCAACCUGCCUUCCUGGAGGUGCUGAGCGAGUUCUCGCCACGGCUGCUGCGCCCCGACAGGGCUCUGCUGCUGGCGUACCUGGAGCGGCUGUGCCAGGAGCGGGGGGUGGCCGCCCCCCCGGGCCGCGCCGUGGCCCCCCCUGCUCACCUACGGCCACUCGCUGCAGCCGCAGGACGAGGGGGGGUCCCUGAGCUCGGCCCCCCCGUCGCGGGGCCCCCCCGCUUCCAGCGCCAAGAGACCCGAAUGGACGCCCCCCCGAGGCGCUCGGCUUCAGCCCCUGGCCCAGCAGCCGCCCCCCCAGCCCGGCUUUCACCUCCACGGCGCUUCGGGGGGGGGCCCCGACCCCCCCCUGCGGGACCUGAGCUCCGACCGGGGGCUCCUGCCCAGCAGCUCCUUGUCCCAGCGCAGUGGGAUGACCCGGU